UGUUCCGCACGAGCGCACCCUUAUCCUUUGUUGCCAGCACGUAAUGGGGGGAACUCAAAGGAAACUGCCGGGGAUAAACCGGAGGAAGGGGGGGAUGACGUCAAGUCAUCAUGGCCCUUACAAGUAGGGUUACACACGUGCUACAAGGGGAAAUACAAAAAAAAGCGACCUCGCGAAACCAAGCGGAACUCAUAAAGUCUGUCGAAGUCCGGAUUGGAGUCUGCAACUCAACUCCUUGAAGUCGAAAUCGCUAGUAAUCGUGAAUCAAAAUGCUACGGGGAAUACUUUCCCGGGCCUUGUACACCCCACCCUA
Molecule: ribosomal RNA, 313 nt
Filed under: Proteus mirabilis
Lineage: Bacteria; Pseudomonadati; Pseudomonadota; Gammaproteobacteria; Enterobacterales; Morganellaceae
Description: partial 16S ribosomal RNA
Rfam family: Bacterial small subunit ribosomal RNA
Source: RNAcentral